AUGACCUCCCUGACCCCGGCCCAUGAAGCCUCUCCCCGCCUGCCCCCUGCCCCUCUACAGUUGGGCCCCCGCACAGGCCGGUCACUCACCGGUCCCGCGCCUUGUCCCUGCUCUCCUUGGCCCCCUCUCUCCCUUGUGCUGCUCCCAGAUGCCUUGGCCCCACUCCCAUCUUAGAAGGGUUUUGGAAGCAAAGACAAACCAGCUCAAAUCCCGGUUCCACCAUGUUCUAAUCUGUCUCCUAUGACAUCAGCUGGACAAGAGGUUCCAUCCUGGCAAGUGGGGCCGGCCAGCCCCCUUCAUGCAUAAAAGGCUGGCCCUCAUCUCCUUGGCGCUGGACCAUCCCAACUGCCUCCUGACUGGGAUCCCUGCCUCGGGCUUCCUUGACCUCCAGGCCAUCCUCCAUGAACUACAGGAGUGAAGUUUCUAGAAGUGAGAUCCUGGGUCUAGCCACACUGGGAGCUUGUUAGAAAUGUUGACCUUCAGACUCUGCCCCAGAUCUAUGAAUGGGGGCCUCCUACUUAAAGCAAGGUGUGAGCGGCACUGUGCUAACUACACACCCAACCAUGGUGUGUCUGCAGGACCAGCACCUCUCUCGACCCUGAAAGACAUGCCCUCCUCUCGGCCUUCCCACCCGCCUCUCCAGACUCAUCUUUCCCCACUCACCGCUAGAACCUUCCACUCCAAAUACAAUUCUUAAUCGACGAUCACGUGUCCCCAUCUAAAAGCCGUAGCACAUGAUGAGAUCAGAAACGUGUGACGCAAAGAAAUGCCUUUUCCCUACCCUUAUUGGUACUUCAAAAUACGGGGUUCAUUGGACAAGACUCCUUACCUGUCGUCAGGACGUUCCUGUGUUUUUGAGACUCGAAGGAAAUUAAACCAAUUAGAAUAAUUUAUUGAACACCUGCUAAAAUGCAAGGUAGCUUUCGAGGAACAAGGAAUAAUAAUUAUUACCGUUAUUAUGGCUGUUGCUUAUUGAAUGGCUACCCCACAGGGGGAACCAUCUAGAACUCCCCUUUGUACAUCCUUAAAUAGCCCUGAAAGGCAGGCUGUCAUCACCCCAUGCUUGUCUUGAGGAGCAGGAUGCUUGGGGGUGCCCUGCCCAGGGCUGCACAGGUAGAGAGCCAGCCAAGUGUCACCCUCCCCCUGCAUGUUCCCCACGACGUCACAUAAACUAGACACAGUUCCCAAGCCUGACACCCCUCCUCGUUCAGCCCACGGACCGGAGGACACCUCCAUGCCCGCCGCCACCUCGCUGGUCCCCCCGCUGCUUCUGGGGCUCAAGAGGGAAAGCAGAACCCCCAGCCGGACGUGCUUUCCUUGAGCCGAUGACGGUGGAAUCCAGC
RNAcentral lists this long non-coding RNA (1343 nucleotides) under Vulpes vulpes (red fox). RNAcentral describes it as "lncRNA (ENSVVUG00000019391.1)". Lineage: Eukaryota; Metazoa; Chordata; Mammalia; Carnivora; Canidae. The record is from RNAcentral.